AUUUCGCACACACCGAAAUGGCAGGAGCGGGAGACCCAGGCACGGCGGACCACGAACACGGUGGUCCUUGGGGUGAAGCCACGAAAGUGGCCGGGCGACUUCGCCGCCCGAACCCGACAGGUCAUCUUUCGCAGGCGCAGGACGAAGGGCUU
This 152-nucleotide small RNA is filed under the name Streptomyces albus. RNAcentral's name for it is "c-di-AMP sequence". It matches the Rfam family "c-di-AMP riboswitch aptamer (ydaO/yuaA leader)". From Rfam's summary of the family: This family represents a conserved RNA structure found upstream of the ydaO and yuaA genes in Bacillus subtilis and related genes in other bacteria. The ydaO/yuaA element is thought to act as a genetic "off" switch for the ydaO and yuaA genes in its native state. It is believed that the element may be triggered during osmotic shock leading to activation of ydaO, a predicted amino acid transporter gene, and members of the yuaA-yubG operon which code for KtrA and KtrB K+ transporters. The record is from RNAcentral. Lineage: Bacteria; Bacillati; Actinomycetota; Actinomycetes; Kitasatosporales; Streptomycetaceae.